ACUCCUACGGGAGGCAGCAGUAGGGAAUAUUGCUCAAUGAGCGAAAGCCUGAAGCAGCAACGCCGCGUGGAGGAUGACACUUUUCGGAGCGUAAACUUCUUUUCUACAAGAAGAACAAUGACGGUAUUGUAGGAAUAAGCACCGGCUAACUCCGUGCCAGCAGCCGCGGUAAU
This 173-nucleotide ribosomal RNA is filed under the name uncultured Campylobacter sp. Its description in RNAcentral is "partial 16S ribosomal RNA". It matches the Rfam family "Bacterial small subunit ribosomal RNA", at positions 335 to 524 of the family's 1533-position model. Lineage: Bacteria; Pseudomonadati; Campylobacterota; Epsilonproteobacteria; Campylobacterales; Campylobacteraceae. The record is from RNAcentral.